Long non-coding RNA from Humulus lupulus (European hop), 1031 nucleotides. RefSeq lists it as uncharacterized. Lineage: Eukaryota; Viridiplantae; Streptophyta; Magnoliopsida; Rosales; Cannabaceae. The transcript is spliced from 3 exons. The record is from RefSeq and is a predicted model, not a curated record.
GGCACUUGAAAUUCAGCCAUACUUGAUGGAAGAAAAAUGUAAGACUGCAAUUCCUUUGUUAAUAAUGCUGUAUUGUUUUUUUUGCCUCCCCUCAUUGAAGUGCUCAUGCUUUUGAUAUUUUUUUUCCCUGGAAUUUUAAUGAUUUCUCAUCUCCUUCUUUUUUAUUGUUUAAGUCAGAUUUGGACUUUCUGUUUUCUAAUUUUUGGGUCAUCAUCUGUAGUGUCAAAGCACUUGAUAAUCACUUGACUGCUAUCCAAAGGGACCAUGAACUCAGGUCCCAAAUAGAAGAAAGGAAAAUAAGAAGUGAUGCGGCUUAUGAAGGGGCCAAAAGAAAAGAGAAAGCUCUCCUCGAAGAAAAACUCCGCCAAGAAAAAGCCAAAGCAGAAGCUGAGGCAAAACUCAGAGCUGAAGAAGCAAAUAUGGCUGCAAUGGAAGCUCAGAGAAGAGAAGCAAAAGAGGCUGCUGAAAGGGAGGCCAAUGAAGCGUCAAGCCAGGCUACUGUUCAGAAGGAAGCUUUAGGAUUGCAAACUAAAGCCAAAACCAAGGAAUCUGAAAUUGAAAAACCAAUAAAUUCAGCAUCAGCAGGUGUGUAGAUGUGACUGGAGCUUACAGUGCUCUAAAGACGGAGCAUAACAUAAGCUUGACAACAAUAGGCCUUUUGUGGACUACAACUGGCUUUAUUGCAAAGAGGAUUACACAUGGACCUGUGGAAGAAAGGGAAACAAGGGAAACAUGUAUAUGACAAGUGCACAACAAAUGGACUCACAACAAAGACAUGUGCACAAAGGAUGUUGAAUUGAAGGAUGGAGCAAGUUUCAUGCAUGGUUUACUUUUGUGUAUCUUGUAAUUUUUUGUUUUUCAUUUUUGAAGUAAAAAAUGUUCAAGAUUAUAAAACUUUAUUAUGUUAUGCUUUCAAACUUAAGUUAGAACUAAGAUCUCAUGAAAUAGACACAUUCAGAGUUUGAAUUAGUUAUUGUUUAAUGUAAUACUUAUGGUUUAUCAAUCUAUUAAGAAUUAUAUUUUAUGAUUAA